RNAcentral lists this long non-coding RNA (12654 nucleotides) under Triticum aestivum (bread wheat). RNAcentral's name for it is "long non-coding RNA (TAES_LNC022212)". Lineage: Eukaryota; Viridiplantae; Streptophyta; Magnoliopsida; Poales; Poaceae. The record is from RNAcentral.
CCGCGUCAAAUUGCGCAUAUGUGUGUGCAAGUAGUGUCCUGCCAAUUUAACAUUAAUAUAUGUGUAACUAGACUAAAUUACAAGCCAAACUGAGCAUAUAUGUGUGCAACUAGUUUUUCUGCCAACUAAAUAUCAAUGUAUGUGUAACUAGACUAUAUUACAAGCCAACAAAACUUUAGUGACACCGUGACCAAAGCAACGGCAACACUCCAACUUGUGCUCGUCUUGUUAGACUCAACAUGAAUGCACUGAGCAAAGAGCAAAAAUAGCGGCACACGGAAGAACUCCAUUCCUAGCAAUCUUCUUCUUUUUCUUGCUCCAGACUGGACAAGAUCCUCCACCCGCGCUUCCUCCUCCUGUCCUCUCCCGGCUAGAGCAAGCUCCCGGCUAGAGCAAGCUCGUAGCAGCAGCUGCAUACACAAAACAACGAUGAGAUCUCUAUCAAAUCUUCUAUUCAAUCGAGAAGAUGGUACAUGCUUGGGCUAGUGACAUGCCGCCUGUUGCUUGAGCCGGCUAGGCUGGGCGUCCUACCGGUGGAGGAGCUAGCGGUGGGAAGGCCCUCACGAGCAGCGCUCACAGGGGGGGUCCUUGGGGGAGCCGGGGCGGGGGAGCAGAUGGCCGUGACCGUCGUCAUGUGCCUUGGGGAAGGAGCGGCGGAGGGAGCAUAAGAGCUCGGAGGGCAGGAUGGAGGAGGGGAAGGAGGCGAGCACCUAGUCCACGACGGCACCGACAGCCUUGGGCGAGACGACGUGGAAGAAGCUCUCCGGAGCGGCGAGCGCUAUGGCUGGACGGGACGAAUGGAUAAGAACAGAUGGGCUUCGUCGAGCGGCGUCGGAUCGGGAAACCGCCCCGACCAGGUACCACCUGACCAACGCGCGGGACGAUAGGAGCGAGAUCGUGCGGCCAGGAGCCGGCCGCUCGACUCGUCUGAAUAGUGCGCGUGCACUUUUUAGAAUUUAGCUUAAACUAGUGGGUGUUUUUAAGGAAUAUCUUAAUCCAUUGAGAGUAGAAGUAGGGCAGUAGUGCGGUGAAGGUUGGUGGCCGGCGGGCCCCACGUACGUCACCCCGCCCCGCCACGUCUGAGCCCACGAGCAGAACGUUAUGCGAAAGAGAAAAAGAAAAGAAUAGGAAAGCGGAUGAGACGGAGAGAUACCCGGGCCCGCUGUGGGGCCCACCCGCCUCCACUGCCUGCCUGGAGAGACUUUCCUCGUGCCCUUUUAACCCACCCGCAGCGACCGGUGCGCGCAGGCGCCACGUCAGCCGGGUGAAACCCUCCGCACUGUCCAGAUCAGGCCCAUCCACGCGGACCCGCGCGUGGUGGUCCCGGGCCAAAGCCGAUCGAUGGCGUAGCGCCAUUUCUUUAUUCCUUUACUUUAUUUAUUUUGCGUGGAGUGUAACGAGUGUUAAGUUUUUACUAGAGGAUAAAAAAAUUUGUUAGGGAAGGGAACAAAUGGGCGUGGCGCCAUCAGCCACCCACCCACCCGUGGACGGUUCGGGGUUUCACCCCGCUCGGGCGCACCGCCACGUGUCGGUCAUCGGGCCAUGCUUGUUGCGUAAGGAAGCGUCCACGAGAUUUUAUCGCGUGUUCCGUUGGGUGCUAGGCGGUGGGGGCGGCCACGGUGGCAGGCGCGGGGGCGGGGCCGUCGGAUGCGUCGGGCGGAUCCUGGCCGUCGGAUGCGGGCAUGGGCAGCGACAAAAAGAGGAUGAGGCCUAGAAAGCGAGCCACAAGGGGAGGGGAGGAGGCCACACCAGACCAGAGAAGCAGCAGCCAUUUCCUUCCAGCCGAGGGAGACGAGACGAGAGGAGAGCACUCUUCCUCUAGGAGAGGAGUAGCAUCGAGAGAGGGAGAGGGAGGAGAUACUCGUGAGCGCGAGGGGAAGGAGAAGGAGGGCGGGCUCUCCCUCUGCCUUGUUGAGGCGGUUGGUGCGUGGAUCUGCGCGGCGGCGGCGGUGUCUGCCGGACUCCGGCGACGCGGCGACGACUAGGAGGGAGAUCGGAGGCGCAUGCCUCAGAUCUGACAUGGAGCGGAUCCGGGAAGGCAGGAGGGCCGCACUGGCCAUGUCCGGCGGGGCGCCACCGCCGCGGCGGCGGCUCAGGAGCAACGGCGGCGGCGUCUCCGGCGGCGCGGGCCCGAGGGACUCGCCUCGGUCCGAGAGGAGGCGGGGGGAGCGGCUCAUGCUCAACGGCAACGGGCGCGACGACGGCGACGACACCUCCGACGACAGCCUCGGCGACGACGACGACGACGCCGACGAGGAGCUCGCCGCCUCCGCGCCCAGGUACCCGCCUGUGCAGCGGCGGUCGCCCAGCACGGCGCCUCCGCCGUCCCCGCCCCAGCCCAGCGCCGCGCACCACCACAGCAGCAGCAGCGGCGGCGGAGGCGGCGGCGGUUACAACAACCACCACCACCACGGCCAGCAGCAGAUGCACCGGAAGGGGGGCUCCAAUCCCAAGGGCCCCAUAGUGUGGAAGGCCGCCGACGAAAUGAUCGGCGUUCCAGUCCCGAGGAAGGCGCGCUCAGGUAUGCUAUGCACCGCAAAACAAGCAAUUUUUCACCCUUCUUGCCGCUUCUGUUUCCCUAAUCUCACCGGCGUUCCUCGUGUUUUCCGCAGCUUCUACCAAGAGGUCUUCGCACGAGUGGACAGGCCCCGGCGGUGGAAGCGGCGGCGGCGCCGCUGUAGACGGCUCGCAGAUCCAGCGGCCUUCUUCACGGCCGAUCUCGCCGGCUUCCACAUCGGCCACCGCCCCUGUUCGGAAAAAGCUGGUGCGUUUUUCAGGCCGACAGAAUCCAUCUCCCCUCAUGAUUCUUAACUCCUGCCCUUACUGAUUUCCCUCUCUCUCCGGUGUCUCGCAGAAAACACUUGGCGGCGGUGGGAGCAGCGGCGGUUCUGGGCCCGUACCGAAGCAGCGGCCGUCGCCGGCCUCAGCUCCUUCGGCAGCCCCGCCUCAGCCGCCACCAGCAAAGAUUUCCAAGUCGCCAUCGUUCAUUCAGGAGGAGAUCGAGGUCGCCGAGGUGCUAUUUGGCCUGACGCGGCAGUUCCCCUGCCCUCCCAAGCAGGAGAACAUGAACCACAAGCCGGAGCAGAAGGACGCGCCGGAGGCCAAGUCCGGGAACUCUUCGCCGGCUCCGUCGUCAUCUGGCGUCCGGCCGGCAGAUUCAGCCUCUCUCACCACUAUAGGUAGGCAGCUCGUCAAUUUUAAUCUUGCAAUGAUUUUUUGUUGCUAAUUUUGGUUUUGUGGGGUCUAAUAAACUUCCUCACUGCUUUUGCCAGCCCCAAAGAGGAAGCGGCCACGGCUCGUCAAGUACGACAACGAGAACCGCCCGGCGAGCCCAGCAAAACCGGACACGGCAGAGCCGCCCUCAAGGCCUGAAGUGCCUCCGGUGGCGAGAUCAGAUGCGAAGCCGUCGGUGUCGGUGUCGGCUGUGGCCGAAAGUGGCGCCAGCAGCACCGCCACCGCCACCGCUGGUGCGCAGCAGGAGGCUACCCGGGAGCCAGAGAAGAGGGAGGACCACAGAGGAAGAGAUCCAGAGCUCCGGACCAGCGAAUCAGAUCGACGGGAUCCCGGGCCCGCCGAGCCGCCGGCACCAGCAGUCAAGCCCGACGGCGAGGCUGCUGCGCCGGUCGGCUCUGAGGCCAGGAAUGGGGAGGCCACCACCGCGACAAAGAGGUGGGCCAUUUGGAUUUUUUAUAUUAUUGGUGUUGUGAUAACCAUUAUUGCCUUUGGAUUGUGCCGAUCUGAUUAGUAUAUUCACAAUUUCGUGUGAAUUUCUUUAUUUUUUUAUCAGUGAGCUGGCAUCUGAUGGCGCUCGGCAAGAAAAGUUUUGCAUUGAUCUCAUGGUGGGUAUAUGCUUUCAUAUGUUUGUGUGUGUGGUUGAAUUGGUCUUGCGGAAUUUGCUGGGCAAAGAUUGAAAACGACAAUUUUUUGCCGCAACUGUUGAUUGGCUUUUUUGUUUUCUUUUCAGCCCUUUUUUUAUCUCACCUUUUUCUCUCCCCUUGUGCUUGUUCCAGGCUCCCCCUCCUGGGAAGCUAUCUCCUGAUAGAGAUGGCUCUUCCGACCCUGAUGCGGAUAAGAAGGGAUUGGAUUCUGAGAUGGACGUGGUGGGUGCCUCUGUCUGCUUCAGUUUCACCAAUUCUGUUGAUUGACCUCCCUAGCCGCUGGAGCAUUGGAUGUUUGAUUCUGAUCGGUCCAUUUCUUGUUCAUCUUUUCCUCCGAUUUCAGGCUUUGAGAGGAAAUUCUGAAAAGAAAGAUGGCGAGAGGACCAGGAGAGGCCUGGAGAUCAAUCUGGAGGACGACAAGGCGCAAAGGAUUCCGGCGGAGGAGCUUGCUCCAAAGAAGCUCACGCUGCAGCUGGAUUUGGAGAAGCCCAGCCAAGGGGACGAUAAGUCGCCAUCUGAGCGCAGACAGCCGCCAUUGCUGCCGCCGCAGCAGCAGCAGCAGCAAAAGCCCUCAAAGUCCGAGGUCAAGCAUGAGAAAUCACGUAAGAAUUUCGCCUGGUUCUUCCCCAUUUUCUCACUGCUUUUGUAAAAGGUGAUUCUUUGUUGAUUUGGGUUUUUCCUCAUCUGGCAGCUCUACCUGCUGCUUCACCGCCUAUGCCAAUGACCGUCGGCGGCUGGAUGGGGACUUUCCCUCCUUUUAGGUGAGUUUUCACUGCUGUUCGAUGUUUUACACGCACUCUUGCUCCCUGAAGGAUUUGUGGUCUAAAAUAUGUUGUUCUUACCUUGGCAGUUACAUUGCUCCUGUUCCUGGACUAUCAGCUCCUGGGCUUCAUCAUCCUAUGGACAUAAAGCCAGGGACUUCUGCUGGAUUACAGGUUCGCUUUCUCACUUCACCUAUGGUGUGGUUUCUGUCUUUGGAGUGAAUUUCUUUGCCAAGUCUAAAGGUUUCCUACAUUGCAGCAUCCUGCAUUGCCUCCACUGCCAGUACGCCCGAAGCGCUGUGCUACACAUUGUUACAUCGCACAGCAGAUCCAAUACCACCAGCGAAUUACAAAGAUGAACUCUUUCUGGCCCACAACAGCGGCUGCAGCCGCUGCUGCCGCCGCCACAAGAUCUGCACCAUUCUUUGGUCCAAGAGGACCAUUCAACAUGGGCGUCGUACCACCUGCGGAGGCUGCCUCCCUUCUCGCGAACCCAAUGCAGGGGAGCUACCCUGUUCGGGCACACGCCCCGCUGCAAGAAACUAAGGCUCCUUCAAUGGUGCCUUCUCCUUUCCAGGGGAGCCUCUCCAAGGAUAAAGCGGCAUCCAGCAGUGCCAGUGUUGCUGAAUCAAACCAAAGGAAGCAACCUCCAGCUCUUGAAGCGCAGCAGUCCUCUCCCAUGCCACCAAACAUGAUGGUAUGCUUGUCGUGGAUUUAUGCUAUUCAUUACUAGUAUCUUGUGGUAUUUUUUGGUAUUUUUUUCCUUAUAUAAUUUCCCGUGCACCCUCUGUUUUUUACAGCAAGCGCCAACAUUCAUCUUUCCAUUCAACCAACAUGCUGCAGCAGUAGCAGCUGCAACUGCCGCUGCCAAUCGAAUGGGAGAUACAAAAUCUUCUGGCACCAGCAGUGCGAUGCCAUCAUCUGCCACUGCCCACGCUUCAGCAGCACACCCUGGUGCAGCGGCCAUGAACUUGAGCUUUGCCAACUUGCAGCCGGGUGAUGCCCAGUUCUUGGCCAUCUUACAGAACGGCUACCCAUUCCAGCUCGCUGCUGCUCAUGCUGGAGGAGCUCCAUCAUAUCGAGGCAUGGCACCACCAGGCCCAGGUGUACCGUUUUUCAACGGGCAUGUCUACUCUCCCCACAUGUUGAACCCAUCACAGCAGCAAGGUACGCAGCAACAAAAUCAUCAGAAAAACCCAAUGCCAAGCUUGUCUGGUUCCUCUCAGAAGCAUCAGCCACAACAAUCACAAGGGUUGCUGGGAUAUGCACCAAAUGCUAAUGCUGCUGCUGCCGCGGCCGCAGCAGCCGCUGCCAACAGUUCCCAGAGCUAUUCGAGCGGCAACCAGCGUCCUGUUCUACUACAUGGCCUCGCUCACCGACAGGAUCCAGACAAGGCUCUGCAAGAUGGCCAGUCAAGUGAUGACAAGUCUUCACACCAUCAGAAGGGUGGGCAUGAACAUAAUUUUGCUAUUCCAAUGCAUCUUCCAAAUUUUGCGUUGAUGCCAUCUGCUGGCAAUCAGAGUGAGAAGAAAUCGAAUGAUCACCACCAGCAGCCACCAACCAGUCGAAGCCAGGGGGUUCGAAUUGAUCUUGCUUCAUCUCAGCCUUUUGUGAUGCCCUUUGGCGCUCCUGGUUCUGCUCCAAAUGGUCUUGACUUCUCGUCAUUGGCACAGAACCAUGCGCUUUUCCAGAGCCAUCAAGAAGCAGGCCGGCAUGGUUACCCUCAGCUCAAUUUUGCUUCAGCCCAGUCUGUUCAAGCUGCACAGCAUAAACCCCAGCAUCAAAAUGCUGCAGAAGCUAAAUCUGUGGCUGGGGAUUCAUCUUCAACGCCAAGUGCUGGAGAUAAUGAGAGAAAGAAAUCUGCAUCUGCAAAGUACCCGAGUGAUUCACAGCAGCAUUCUCUUUCUUUCUCUAAGCCAGAAAACAAGUCUUUUAUGCACCCUUUCCUUGGUAGCAGUGCUAAUGAGCCCUCAGUCCGCACUUUGAGCCUUAUUGGUGCGGAAUCUUCGAAUGCCUUUGGGUUAGGCAGCAGCAAAUCUUCAAGUGCUUCUACUGCAGCAGCUACGUCAGCUGCAGCCCCAUCUGCACCAACCAUGUCCCAGCAGCAGCAACAGCAGCAAAUUCAGCUGCAGCUGCACCAACACCAUCAGCACCAGAUGCAGCAACAAUUCCAGCAGCAGCAACAGCAGCAGCAGCAGCAACUCCAGCAGCAGCAACAGCAGCAGCAGCAGCAGCAGCAGCAACUCCAGCAGCAGCAACAGCAGCAGCAGCAGCAACAACAGCAGCAGCACCAGCAACAUAUGUUACAGCUUCAGAAACAGCAGCAGCAGCAGCAAUUGUUUCAAAAUCAUCUGAACUCUCGCCCCAGGUCUGCUGCUCCGAGUAAUGCAAGUGGAUACUCUGACCGUUUGAGUGCGACGAACUUUCAGAAUUUAAUGUAUCCAUCAAGCGCUUCUCAAGGCGGAGUUCCUGGUCAAUCACCUCAAUUGAAGGCAUCGUCGUCGAUGAGAGUGUCAGCUCCACCUUCAGGUGCUUCUGUCCCUGCUGCAUCCUCGCCUUCUAGUUUGAUUAUGAUGAAGAACAGUGGUCUCCAUCAACAAGCAAAAGCUCUGCAGGCUCUCUCCACCCCGAAUCACCAGUCUCAAAGCAUGAGUUCAUCGAAGAUUGGCCACUCCCUUACUAAUCUUUCUACUGGAGGAGCAGGGGACCUAUCUCGAUCUUCAAAUGCUCCUGUUGCUUCUGGUUCGCCAUCUAACUCGGUCUCCAAAAGUACUGGUGGUAGCCCACCUGCAUCUGGAAUUGCGAAGGGUGGCCAGCCAGUUGUCCAAUUGUCAUCACCUCAACAACAUGCAGCAAAGAACUCUCCUUCGACUUCUGGAUCCAAGUCGGCUUCAACAAAUCCCUACAGCAGUAUGCCUAUGCCAUCGAUCCUUGGUCAGCAACCAAACAUGGCUCACUCUGGUGGUAAGCAGCAGUCACAUGGACCCUCAUUGAAACAACAGCAGCCGUUCCCACAAGGCCAUGGCCACGGCCACUUCUUCAUCUCCAAUGCCUUUGCGCCACAAGGUCCGCCUCAGCAUGUAAAUGCUGGAGCUGGUGCUGGCCUCUACCAAAAGCGCUCGGCUGACAAGACGCAGCAGCAGCAGAAUGCUGUAUCUGGUUCGUCUGCGAUGCUCUCUCUUGGUUCCAUGUCGAUGUCCACAUCUGCGAUUCCAGCUGAUGCGGGGAAGGCUCAUAGUGCAGCUGGCAGUAACAUGAAGGCCAAUCUUCAUCCAGCACCUGGUGGUUUUAUGCACCUUGGGACAGCGGGGCAAUCUGCGAGUGGUUCGCCUCACUCUCACUCUCACCUUUCAGCGGCACAAUUGACGUUUUCAAUGCCGAUGCCCGUAAAGCCUACCAGUGAUCAGAAGCCUGCUGCUGGUAAUGGACCUCUAUCCAUACUUGUUUCCCCUGCAGACGUUGUUCCAUGUACCGCCACCAUAUAACUUGACUCAGUUGUUUCGACUAACAUAAAACCCUUGUGUUUGUCAGGUAAGUAAAGGACCCAGACGCCAGAGCAUGGGAAUGCUGCUAAUCUCAGUCGGCGAGCUAACUGCUAAUUCUGUCGGAAGCUCGGCGCGCGGAAGAAGCGAUUGCGUGGCAAGAGGCAUAGCUGCGAGAGCCGGAUCGUCGAUGAGGAGGAUGAUGCACCCAUUCCAUCCAUUCAGGGGCUCUGGCAAUCUGUGGAGUAAAAAUGUGGAACGGUUGGCUGAUGGGAGUGAUGCUUGUGUGUAGUAGGUUAUCCUCCCAUGGUGGAAAGCUGGAGGUGCAUAGAAAACCUUUUUUUUAGCAGUUUUAUGCAAGAUUGUCAAAAGCUGGUCUCUCUGAACUUGUUCCCUCCCCUCUCCUCCAACUGCUGCUCUGGUCUCUUUAGAUUUGUUCUUUUUGUUGUUGUCUUAACUGAAGGAAGAAGGUUUAAUUAGAAUGCAGGUCAAGGGAAACUUUUGUGAUGCUGCUGCUCUUGCCUUCCUCUUUUCUUUCUUUCUGUGUUUCUUUCCUUUUUUUUCCAUGUGUUUUGUCAAUACCAUCUGCUUGGAUUGUUUUAGAAACAAUUUGGGGCAGAGAGGGAAAUAUCUCUCAAGGAGUAGUAGUAGUAGUAGUAUGUUGGAUUGCUUUAGAAACAACAACUGGGGCUGAGGCAGAGAAGGCAGAUAAGUAGUAGUCGUAGUUGCUGCAUAGCAUAGCAUAGCAUGAGAAUGACCAUGACCUGCCUGUUGGGUGUGUGCGUUGUAAUUAGAAGAAAUGAAUCAAUCAAGAAGGUGGAUGAUGGAUGGAUGGAUAAUCUUGUUAAGAUAGCAAAGCAGAGCAAUUCUGGGAUGUGUGAUGACUCGGCACUGCAGUGCUCACUCAUCCGAAAGUGCUACUCUUUCCGGUGCGCAGUCCGGCACGCCACUCUUCCACUCCGCCAUUUGUUAACUUGCCCGGACGGACGGACGGACGCGUGCUGCCGCUAUCUUCUUCCUAAUCGUACCAAUCUAUCUAUCUAAUAUAUCUAUAUCUAUCUAUGACACUUGGGCUGGAUGGUGAUGAUCUCAUUCACCUCCACCAAAGCUCUCGCCCUUCACACGUGUCCGGCCUAACAGCCAUCCGACGUGCAGGCUGAAAAGUAAAGUAUCUGGAAAUUUUUGCCUUGCCCGGGGGACAUCGCUUUCCUUUCCCUUGGCGCAAGGGCAUGGCGCUCCCUCCCUUUCCUGUCCGGAGUGGGUCUGCACGCAUGGAGCUUUUUGUCCACAUGCACCGCUCCGGUUCUUGGUGACUCAACCUGGCAGUCGUGUCGGGUUUGGCCGGGUCAACCUUUACCAGACCCAUGCCCGAUUACUCUGUCGGGUCUAUCUUGCACCCAUGACCCUAUCCAUGGGUAUGGAUUUAGACCCACGCCCGAACCCAUCGAGUGACCCGACCCUAUCGGGCACCCAUCGGGUCUGACAAAAUUAAAUAAUUUUAUUUUUUAUAGAAGACAUAGACGUUGUAUUGUGCAUGCAGCGUUCAGUCCUGGCAACAUAAACCAGCGGUCUCCAUUUUAUAGACGGGGCUCCCCCUCCCAUGUGCUCGAACAGGCGAGGUGGGACUAAAUGUUCAGCUUCUCUUUUAUUUGAUGGACAUGUGUACACUACAUAGGCUUCAUCUUUUAUGGGUUGAAUGCAUAUGUGCAGCGCUCUGUGCAUGGGCCACUUGCUAAAGGUCAAAAUGGACCAUACCAAGCGUGUGAAUAACAUACAGAAUAAGCUUGGUGAUGGUUGUGGUCGUAAUGAUUGUGCCUUGCUCUGUUUUUUGUGACCACUGCCCAUGAAAAAUAUAGCAGGAAACAAAUAGUUUAUUAAUUAUUGAUAUUAAUCGGGUGACCCAUCGGGUAACCCACGGGCACAAACUUAAACCCAUACCCUACCCAUGACUAAUCGGGUUACCCAUGGGUAAGACCCAUGGGCGAAGUCGACAAGCCAUACCCUACCCAUUCGGGUCGGGUGCCUAUGGGCGCACGAACCCAUGGGUCAGAUUGCCAGGUUGAUUAGUGACAUGUGAUUAAUCGCGUGCUGGAUUGUUUGUUUGGGUUAACCUGGCUUGGGUGGCCUCGGCCUUCCUUUCCAGCACGCACUCAUGGCUCAUCCGUCCAUGCGAUGCCAUGUAGGAGUAGUAGGAGUAGGAGUACUGGUGGCAGUAUCUCGCUGCGAUAUCUUGUGCAUGCACACAUCAGGUGGCCCCACGGCCUGUCAUUAUUGCCAAAAACUCUUGUCUUUGAUUGAGAUGGGGAGAGAGGUGUGCGCCAGUGCUUGUUCUGUGUGUCCAGUUGUUGUUUUUGGUCAGUAAAAUCUGGUGUCCCUGUCGCCGUCGUGACGUAGCACCGCCAGGCUGUUCUCCAAGUUGCCAGACAACUGGAUUUGCACGCUACGUGCGCCGGGCACAAGCGGCGGGGCUGGGUAGGCCGCCCGUGCUCGCGCUGUGAACCUUGGGCGGGGCGGUGGAACUCCGGUGGGCAGAAACGGCGAAUGAUGGUUUGAUGAUCGUCGGCUUCAGAUUUGAUCUAUGGUUCAAGUAGGCAAAAAGCGUGGAGAUGGAAAAAGAUAAUGAUUAAGCAUGGCGGAGAAGUUCGUGUUUAGUCAUCUCGUCCUAUUUCGCCGUUUGUGGCAUAUUAUACCUUUUUAUUCUUUUUUUUAACUCUGAGCGAGCUUGUUUGGGAUCACAGACUUUUCGGUCACUUUGAUAAAUAAAGAGUCUGCAUGCAUCAUUCUGAUGCAGAGGCUGGGGUAAUCCUCAUUUUCUAAAAAAAACAUGGUGGAGAAGUGUUUGAUAGCACCUGAGAAAACAAAGGAAUUCUACAAAGAGGUUUGAGUGCACUAAAAUGUCCUCCAAGGUAGAGUAUGAAUGAAUCCUAGGGAUUUCAAUCGUGUGAAUCAAACAGCCAAUGUAGCAAAGUUUUUAAAGGAUCCAAAUCCUCUGAAAAUCCUGUAAAAUUCCUUUGAAUCGAGCUCUGAAGGAGAUAGAGGCGGUACGGUUCGCACAUGUCUUUUCAAGGACAUUGGGAGAUCUAGAUCUCUGUGAGUGACGACACCAAAUGGAAAGACUACCCGGUUAAUAAAAUUGCUACACAUCGAAUGGAACUACUAAUUGAGGGUACGAUGAGCAUCCUGACUCUUCCAAGAAGAAGAAAGGAAUAACUAGAGAACUAACAAUGUCCUAUAAGUUACAUAUAGAGGAGGUAUCACUAUCUUGUUACCAGCCAUCGGACCAAUAGGGGCAUAUCUUAGAAAAAAGAGUGGGAGAGGAGACCCCAAGGUGUGAGAGGAUUUAGUGGUCCAUGAGGAUGUUGUGUUGGAUGGGGUAUCCAACAAGAGGACUCGUAUGUAUGUCAAGAGUGACCCUCCACUGUGGCCAAACAUUGCUCCAACAUCAGUCACUCGAUCUCUAUUAUCGAUGCCCCGUCUAUUCUAUUCUACAAACCCUCCACCCUCCCCGUCAUCCACCCCACCCCUCCCAACCCCACUUUCUUAGAACCUCGGUACAUACGAGCUUUCAAUUUGGAUCCAAGAUAUUAUUUUCACUUUCAACUCGCUUUCUAUAUAAACAGUAAACAUAACAACUUUAACCAAUAUUUCUUGCUUAGAUCUAGAACUUUGCUUUCAACACUUACCUCGAAAUAACCCUCAGGGCCAUGAAGAGGGAUCAUACCAUCGAUGCUUAGAUCAAACUUUGAACCCGUCAAUCACCUGGAAAUAACCCCACCACCAUGAAGAGGAAGGACACCAUCGAUCCUUAGACAUAGAACUUUGAAUGCGACAAUCACCUGGAAAUAACCCUCACGGUCAUGAAGAGUAAGGACAACAUUGAUGCUUAGAUAUAGAACUUUGAAUCUGGCAAUCACCUAGAAAUAACCCCCACUGUCAUCAACAGGAAGAACAACAUUAUUAGAAAUUCAGUUAAUAGCUACUUUGAAGAAAUAUCUAAACACUAAACUAUGAUGCUUAGACAUACAACUCUGAAUCCGGCAAUCACCUGGAAAUAACCCUCGCGGACAUGGAGAGGGAGGACACCAUUGAUGCUUAGAUGUAGAACUUCGAAUCCAGCAAUCACCUGGAAAUAACCCUCACGGUCAUGAAGAUGAAAGACACCAUUGAUACUUAGAUCUAGAACUUUGAAUCCAAGAAUCAUCUGGAAAUAAACCCCACGGCCAUGAAGAGGAGGGACGUAAUUAUUAAGAAUCCAAUUAUCUGCUAUUUUCAACAAAUCCCUAAACUAUAAACUACGAUGCUUAGAUCUAGAACUUUGAAUACGACAAUCACCUGGAAAUAACCCCCGCGGUCGUGAUGAGGGAGGACACCAUUGAUGCUUAGAUCUGGAACUUUGAAUCCGCUAAUCACCUACAAAUAACCCUCGCGGUCAUGAAGAGGGAGGACAUCAUCGAUGCUUAGAUCUGGAACUUUGAGUCCAACAACCACCUGGAAAUAACCCCUGCGGUCAUGAAGAGGGAGGACACCAUCNNN